Molecule: long non-coding RNA, 438 nt
Organism: Salvia miltiorrhiza (redroot sage)
Lineage: Eukaryota; Viridiplantae; Streptophyta; Magnoliopsida; Lamiales; Lamiaceae
Exons: 2
Source: RefSeq, a predicted model, not a curated record
UAAGAUUUAGCAGCUUUGUAGAAUUGUUAGCUCAUGCGAUAUUUUGCGACCUAUUAAGAUUAGAUUAUCUUGUAGGUCCACUUGAUAGAAGGUUUUAGCACUGGUUUUACAAGAAGAGAAUUGUGCAAAUUUUAUCUACAGGCUUGUCCUAUCAAGGUUGAGCGGCAGGUGGUGUCGUGCGAGGCUAAGGGAGGAUGUUGCUGUAGUUUCAAUUAAUAAUUUUCGCUGCCAUAAUAUUCACUUAGGUGGAUAUCUCUUGAGAUUUGACUCUUUAAAUAUUCUUAGCCUAAUUAUUAUGAACUCUUUUGGCAAUCGCAUUUCUAGCAAUUGAACCUCGCAUAUAUGUAUGUCUAGUAUGAAGUGUUAUCUUGUUGUCUCAGACCUCCGAACUUUUGAUCCUGGUUGGGAAAAUUUUUAUCCUAAUUGUUGUAUUUAUUA